GCUCAAUUUCCCUCAGGCCUGGGCUGCAAUCCAUGGCUGCCCCAGAGCACCCCGCUUCGGCCUUGGACCCUUCCUGCUGCAGUCCCUUUUGGAUACCGACUCGGGUUAUCUCCUAAGGAAAGGGGAUUAGUGUUGGAGGGGAGGACUCGAAAGAAACAUCCUCCAUUGAUAAAAAUCAGCAAUUCAUUGGUUACACUGGCAUAGAAGUUACCAGAUGUACUGAGAGGCCUGGAAAGAUUUACAUGAACUGAUGCUGAGUGAAACAAGCAUAACCAGGAAUACAUGGUACAAAAUAACAGCAAGAAUAUGAGAUGAUCAACUAUGAAAGGUAUGGUUCUUCUCAGCAGUUUAGUGAUCCAAAACAAUGCC
RNAcentral lists this long non-coding RNA (369 nucleotides) under Sarcophilus harrisii (Tasmanian devil). Its description in RNAcentral is "lncRNA (ENSSHAG00000021163.1)". Lineage: Eukaryota; Metazoa; Chordata; Mammalia; Dasyuromorphia; Dasyuridae. The record is from RNAcentral.